UAAGAACAUCAGCUCCUUUAUUAUUAUUAUCAUUUACUGUUAUUUUCCCCUAAACAACAGCACAAUUCAAAUAACAAUGACACACACGUCCCACCCAUAUAGACAAUACCACUAGCCUGCCUGCCAGGCUGUCUGGCCUUUGCUUGGUUCCAGCUGGAGCUGUCUGGAGACAGCCCUCUCUAAAAGUCCCAACUUGGACAUAGGAGACACAAGAAAGGGGGGGCUUUAGCCAGAGAAUAAACUGAGGGGCUUCCAGAGUCCCCGGGGAGUGCCAGCUUGGGAACAUGCUGUAAGAUGCAAUGUGAAAUGUUAUGUCCCAUUAUAUUGGUUUGGCAACUUUAGAAUGUGCAACAUUUUCAUCAAGACAGAAAAGGUAAAGAAAAAAAAAAAAAACUCCCAGCAUUUUGCGCAACUGAGCAUGACUCGCCAAUUGCGCCCUCUUGUGGAAAAACCUACUACUACACUAUCCAGGGACUCUGUGGUCCAUCCACUCCCACCCCCAACAUCUUAGUUGCGCUAAAUCUAUGAGUUCAGCUACAGUAAUGUACCCUGGAAUCAGAGAAGCCCUGGGGUUGGGGAGGGAACAAGGAUGGGCCAUGACUGGGGUCUCAGGUACAGGUGACUUCCUGGCUGUCUUGGGGAAGCUCGUUGUUGAAACUGCUUUCUCCAAAUGGUGAGUAAGGGGGGACCUGGGGAGCUUCGAUGAUCAGCAGGCCCUCUGGGGAAAGCGAGGCAAAUACUGUCACAGGAUCCACCUCUGCAGGAAGCCUAGAGGAAGCACAAGAUUUUAUUCAUUUAUUAUUUUAAUAGAGCUUAAACAUUCUUUUAUUCAUUCGAAAGAAAAUGUUGUUGAGAAGAGCUUCAUCUUUCGGGGCAAACAAUGCUGGGUUUGAAUUCUGGCCCUGCCCCUUUCUAGCUGUGUGAUCUUAGGAAGGCCACUCAGUUGCUCUGAGCUUGUUUCCUCAUCUGCAAAAUGGUGAGCAUAACAUUAAAUUUGCACAGUAUUUGAAGCUCAGAGUGAGAAAAAGACUCUGAACACGCUUUACGAAUGGUAAAACGCUGCUCCAAUGGUAACUUAAAAGGGAGCUGUGGUCCAGAUAUUUGGUCAAUGGUUGAGGUCUCCACUUUAGCACCCACAACUGGCCAGCUGCUGGCGGAAAUGACCGCCACGACCACUCCUUUAUAGAGCACAAAUCAGGUGUCACUCACAACAGGUGACACAUUUUCAUUGACCAUGUGCCUGCUGGGAGGGCUUUGCUACAAAAAGCAUUGCUGGUAGAGUUAAUGGUGGAAUAGACAACUUGGCAGAUAAAGGGGGUCAGGCUGGCCACAUGGCUAGACGUCAGAUGGCAGCAUACUCUACGAUGCUUAGAAUGACCCUCGAUUUGGGCCACAUCGUAAGUAGGUCUUAGCAGGUCAUAAUUGUUUUGUUCCCAAAAUACAUUUAUAGGCAUUACCUGGUUAGAGCUUUAUAGAGACCCUAGAAUGGUUAGUAGGUAGAAAUUAAUAUGCCCAUUGCAUAGGACAUCUGACAGAGCCUUGGGGAAUCCAACGACAGACUCAGUGGGAGAGAGGGCACCAAAGACAGGACUUCUGAACCCAAAUCUGGUUCCGGUUCUGAAGCUAUUUUUAUGACUUUUGGAUUGUUUUGAGCAAACGAGACUAUCUGGGACAUGGUUUCUGCAACAAAUUAUUGGAAUUGUGAGAGCAUGCUAAUGGCCCCAUUAUCAAUAAAAAAUUAUGAAAACUAUGACCUGCUGAGAACUUUCUAUGUACCAGGGACUUCGCCUGAAUCCUCUCGUACAGUUGUUAACAGUAACCCCACCAGGCAAGUGCUAUGCCUAUCCCCAAUUUACAGAUGAGGAAAUUGAGGUCAGAGAAGUGAACUGAUUCGCCCAAGGCCCCCCAGCUGGUAAGCGGCAGAUGGGAGUGGAAUUGGACUCGGGGUCUCCAAACUCAGCUGAUUGUGAUGCUCUGCGGCCUCCCCCGGCACCAGACUGUUGAACACAGGACCAUGAGGGGAAGCCAGGCGGUUCUAUCACCACGAUCUUUCCUGGCCAGGCUGGCUCUGCCUGUUGUAAAUGCAGGGGUCUUGAUGAAAGAAGCAAGAAAUGAGGUCAGCCCGUUCCUCGUCAUGGGCAGGACCCUUCCUGGAGGGGCUGGGAGGCUUUUGCUCCUGUGCUCGUAGGCGCAUGAGCCCCAUCUACCCAAGGGACUCCUGCCAAAUUGGAGCCACAGAGAAUAACAAGGGGGCUGCGGGCAAGGACGGAAGAAAGAGAGAAUUUGAACACCUGCCAAGUCAAGCUCCUGGAGCAGAGACAAGGGCAAGAUUUUGGACCUCCCUCCCUCUGCUGGGGGAUGGGCUGACUCUGUUGAACCAUUCGCACGCCAACCCAGUGGGGACCAGGUACAAUGUGACAGGGUAGGCAUGGUCCACAGCCUGGACUUGGCAGGCAGGGAGACCUCGAUCCAGAUUCCGGCUCUUCCCGACUGUGUGACCUUGGGCUAGUGAUUUCACCUCUCUGAAUCUAUUUCCUUGUAAGAAAAGAGGUAAUAAUAGCAUCUACCUCUUAGGGUGGUGUGAGAAUUAUGUGAGAUAAUGAAAGAAAAGGACUUAGAAUGGUGCCUGGCACACAGUAAGCGCUCAAUAAGUGUCAGCUUCUGCAUUGUCAUUGCAGGCAUUGGCUCGCCAAGUGGGCACCUUGACAGCUGGGAAUAUUUUAGCACAAGCUGUGCCAUCAUUGAACCAUAGGACAUCAGAGCCCAAAAGGAUCUUCUCGAUUGUCCAGGACAAUGCUCUCAUAUUACACAUGGGGAAACUGAGGCCCGGAGUUGGGAAUAGACUUGUUCAAGGUCCCUCACCAGGUAACCUGUAUGUUGAAUCGACGUGGUGGGAAAGUUAUUCCUCCCCAAUUCUCUUUCAGUCCUUCUGUUUACAUCUAAACAAAGGUCUCAGCGAAGGGUUAACAAGCCUUGAGCACCUGCAGCCUCUGUCUCUUGCUAUUUUCUCUUUUUAACAAAGAGACAGCAGAUGUAAGUCUUAGACCCUUCGGCAGGCAACAUCAUCUAGUUAUUUCACCACAUUUUGCUUUCAUUGGAUUUUGUUAUGAUUGCCUUCUUCGGUGAACAUGUUAGCGAUGAGAAUUUCACUGUAUCAAAAGUGAAUUGAUCGGAAAAAAACAAGGCAUAAGCAAAUAAUAGUAUGGGAACAUUAGCAUAUGUGGCAAAAAAUAGUGAAGACGUAUGCCAAUAACUGUCCUUCAGUCUGCCCUAACCGAGUAGGGGAAGUUCAAGUUAGGGACACCUGUGCUCCAAUCUCAGAUCUGCUCCUUCCUGUGUGACCUUAGUUGAGUCCCACCAUCCCACUGAGCUUCAGUUUCCUCACCCACUAGAUGGGCGUAAUCAUACCCACUCCAUAGGAUUCCUCUAAAGAUGAAAUACGAUUAAACCUACAAACCUCUCCACAUGGCUCUUGACACAUCGUAGAUAACGAUAAGAGGCAGAACAGAUACGUGGGAAAAUGUGGAGCAAAGAGACUGAAGUUUGCUUUGGCUCUGAGCAUCCUCCAUGGAUGACUUCCUGUGUCCCCUGCUUCCUGUCCUCUCAUCCAGCUUGGAUGUGGGAAAGAUCUCAUCUGCAGUCCUCGCCCUGCCCCCAGUCUGAUAGGCAAAUUCCAAGACCUCUCCCCGUCCCCUCAUCCAGGCAAGAUGGGGCCUUUCACACGGGGAUGGGUGUGUUGGGCUAAGGCCAACAGCUGUAGCAUCCUGCCUGGCUGGAAAUCUCCAAGGAUCUCAGCUGGUUGAAGGAGCUUCCCUGUCCUCUGAUGACCUGAGCUUUUCCUGGGAGAGGCGAUGAGGCCUCCUAAGAUUGGGCCAGGGCCAUCCCAAACUCCCGUCCUGCUCCUCGGUGUCUGAAGUCUGGGCAGAGCCAGGAGGGCCCAGGAGGUCCCACCUGCUCUUGUGUGAUCCCAGCCUUGCAAUCUUUUAAUAAUAUUAGUUCCCAUGGACUGAGCGCUGAGUCUGUACCCCGUGCUAAACGCUUUACACACAUCCUCUCAUUCCCCAUCACAGAUCCAUCUGUGAGGGAAUGCGGGAACAGAAGCUCAGAGCAGUUCAGCAAAUUGCUCUGAGUUACCCACUCUCUCUAUCAUGGAGCCCGGACUCCCUACACCCAGGGGUGAAAUUCAAAAUAUUUAGCAACUGGCACAACUGGACAUUGGCCAGCCAGAAGGGAUAGAUACCUGAUCUAGUUAUGGAGGAGGGUUCUGGGGACCCUUUAAUAGCUGGAACAUGGGGCGGUUUGGAGGGUCCUGGGGACAGGGUCAGGAUGGCUAGGUCGACUAGGGAGGGCACCUGGGGAGCUCAGGGCAAUGGCGAGUCCCAUAUUGUAGCGAGGGCCCCAUAUUGAGCUCAACUGCAGCCCUACCUUGAGCAGCUGUAGGCAUUUCUAUCUGGUCAAGCAACUCCCAGCAAGCUGUUUUCCCAGAGGUCUCAGAGACAGCGAAAUCCACAAAAUGGCCGUCUUCUUAAGAUGAUUAAUUCGCUGACUUCUUUUUCAGCUCAGUCGCCUCCACAGCUUUGCCCUGCCUGUGACUCCAACCUGAGACCUUCUAUGAGUCUCUUGAAAGAAACAUUGGCUCCCUCCUCCUCCCUUUUCCCUUUCUCUCUGCUCUCAGCGAUGUUUGAUCUGGCUGCUGGACCAGGGAGAGGUGUGGGUCUUGGGGACGGCGCGUGAGCCAGCGAGCGUAAGAGAAGCUGUUGGCCUUUCCCUUAUCAGGAAGUGUCCUGAGGCUUCCAAGAACUCCAGAGGCGCCAGGCGGGUCAGGAGCAGGCACGUGGGGGGAGAGACAGGACUGCAGAAUCCCAAAGCUGAAAGAAGCCUCAGAAUUCAGCUAGCCCUGUCUCUCCAGACACAGGACAUUUUUUGCCAGGGCUAGGAGUGGAGCAAAGAUUCAAGAACCGCAACAAUAAUAGUAAUAACAAACGGCCACGUAUGAAGACCUGCUGUGUGAGGAUCAUUGUGCCAUGAUCUCAUCUCAUUUUCACUUGGUAACUCUGCAAGGCCAGAAUCAGCACACAUCUCAUACAGACGAGGAAAGGGCAUUCCUUGCUUGAGGAAGGAGCAUUAAACUCAGAGUUGAAGGAUCCGUUUGGGGCUGUUCUAAAUUCCAGAUGUAAGGACCUCGAGUAUGUCCGUUCACCUCUGGAAGACUUCGUUUCCCCAUAACAGCAGGAGGGUACAAUCUCUCCUCCCCUGAACAGCUUCGCUGCCAAGACUGGAUGCAAUGAUGACUGGGGAAAAGGCUUUGGAGCCAGAAGAGCACGUGAUGGAGUGACGCUGAUUAGGGAGAAGAUGUCCCUGAAGCAUCUAGCCAUCAGCACCCCGCUGUGAGUCUCUUCUCCCCACAGGCAUUGCCAUCAGGGCCUCUGUGUGGCUUUGAUUCAGUGGCUCAGCCUGGCGCUCUUCUGGCUGCUCACGUGGUUUUCCCAGGCUCAGCCCUUCUCACUCCCCUCAGCAAAACCUGCCCUUCCUUCAUCCCAAUCUCAGCCUCAGGACCCCUCCAGGUGGUAAGCGGAGCCGGCAGGACACCUUCCAGUUUAAUUCCUGUGGAUGCUCCAGCGAAGGCGCACUCUGCUGGCUGUGGGAGAGUUAGGGCGAGCAGCCUCCCCAAGGAAGAUUCUACUGGGCCUUUGGGGCAUCGGGGGAGGGUCUUUCUUGACCGUGAUGGAGAUCCUCCCUCAGCCAUACCACGUGGGUAGGGGAGUGCCCCAAUUUUCGUGGAACUGUGGACAAGUCAUUUCACCUCUCUUAUUCUCGGGUUCUUCAUCUACAAAACGGGAUUGUUGAUACCGACCUCACAGGGCACUGAGCAGGCAAGACGGGAGAAUCUAUGCGGCCCCCCUUUCUGGGACCCUGUUGCAGGUUUGCUGUGACACUUUCUUCCCUUCAGGUAUGAGGGUUCAAGUCCCUGCCCUGGGCCAUGUCUCACAGGAGAGAUGCCCAGGAGGGAGAGACCCCAGAUCUCGGGUCCCAGGCACCCCCGUCUCCUCCACUCCCACCCUGAAAUCCACACUGCCAGGUCACUUACUGGAUUUUCUUUGUGAAGUUCUUGGAAACAAUGCCGCCUUCUUGCUGCUUCUCCUCGUGUUUGCCUGGAAGGGAAAGAAAUGCCACGGGUCAGCAUCUGCGUGCCCUGGGCAUCCGUCAGGACUCGGACUUGGAGUCGAAUCCUGCGCCUGCCUCACUGUGUGGCUUGGGGCUUGGUCUAGUGGCUCCAGUUGUCUGAGCUUCUGGUCCCUCAUCUGCUAAGUGGACCCACCUGAGCCUCCUCCCAGGCUGUUGUGAAGAUGAAAUAAAUAACGGACAGGAGGCCUUGACCGUGCAAAUAUUCUUUAACAGCGGGAUUACUAGCGGCUGCACAGCGUUUCACUGCAGAGAUAUAAAAAUUCAUUUGGACAGUCCCCAGCUUCUUGGCACUGAGGUUCCUGACAUUUGGGAAGAACCUCAGUGCCCUGAAUGUCAUCCUAGCUAGAUCUGCAUGCGGCCUGAUGACUCCCUGAGGGUAAAUUCCAAGUUCUAGAAUUUCUAAGGCUUGGUCUGUAUUGUUAAAUUGCCCUUAGGAAAGGCUGCAUCAAUUUCUUCUCCCAUCAGCUGGGCAGAAAGGGGUACACAUGUAGGAGUUUGGGUUUUUAAGCUGGAGUGUCUGGCUCUCCAGAACAUGCUAUUCUGUGAUGUGCUGCCCCGGGGAAAGCUUAUUGUGACCUGCCAAGUCCGUGACCACCAAAUGCCCAGCUCCAACCCAGGCCUGUGGCCAGAAGGGCGCUGUGUGUUCCCUGGUAUCCUCCCCAAGCCAGGGCCUCCGGAGGCCUGCUUCCCCUGGGGACAGGCCAGUGCCUCUGACUCAGCCCUUUUGCACCCUUGGUAUCCUGGGAAUAAUAAAGGAUGAUGAUGAUAAGAAUAAUAAUAGCAAACUCUUAUAUAG
Molecule: long non-coding RNA, 6982 nt
Filed under: Equus caballus (horse)
Lineage: Eukaryota; Metazoa; Chordata; Mammalia; Perissodactyla; Equidae
Description: lncRNA (ENSECAG00000044762.1)
Source: RNAcentral